RNAcentral lists this ribosomal RNA (2660 nucleotides) under Salmonella enterica subsp. enterica. RNAcentral describes it as "partial 23S ribosomal RNA". It matches the Rfam family "Bacterial large subunit ribosomal RNA", at positions 373 to 2925 of the family's 2925-position model. The record is from RNAcentral. Lineage: Bacteria; Pseudomonadati; Pseudomonadota; Gammaproteobacteria; Enterobacterales; Enterobacteriaceae.
CCGUACACAAAAGCGCAUGUGCUGUGAGCUCGAUGAGUAGGGCGGGACACGUGGUAUCCUGUCUGAAUAUGGGGGGACCAUCCUCCAAGGCUAAAUACUCCUGACUGACCGAUAGUGAACCAGUACCGUGAGGGAAAGGCGAAAAGAACCCCGGCGAGGGGAGUGAAAAAGAACCUGAAACCGUGUACGUACAAGCAGUGGGAGCACAGGUUUACCUGUGUGACUGCGUACCUUUUGUAUAAUGGGUCAGCGACUUAUAUUCUGUAGCAAGGUUAACCGUAUAGGGGAGCCGGAGGGAAACCGAGUCUUAAUUGGGCGUUAAGUUGCAGGGUAUAGACCCGAAACCCGGUGAUCUAGCCAUGGGCAGGUUGAAGGUUGGGUAACACUAACUGGAGGACCGAACCGACUAAUGUUGAAAAAUUAGCGGAUGACCUGUGGCUGGGGGUGAAAGGCCAAUCAAACCGGGAGAUAGCUGGUUCUCCCCGAAAGCUAUUUAGGUAGCGCCUCGUGAAUUCAUCUCCGGGGGUAGAGCACUGUUUCGGCUAGGGGGCCAUCCCGGCUUACCAACCCGAUGCAAACUGCGAAUACCGGAGAAUGUUAUCACGGGAGACACACGGCGGGUGCUAACGUCCGUCGUGAAGAGGGAAACAACCCAGACCGCCAGCUAAGGUCCCAAAGUCAUGGUUAAGUGGGAAACGAUGUGGGAAGGCCCAGACAGCCAGGAUGUUGGCUUAGAAGCAGCCAUCAUUUAAAGAAAGCGUAAUAGCUCACUGGUCGAGUCGGCCUGCGCGGAAGAUGUAACGGGGCUAAACCAUGCACCGAAGCUGCGGCAGCGAACGUAUCACCCAAGACAACUUUACGGAGUUGACGAUUGACGGAGCGAAGCGACGUCAAAGCGUUCAUUAAAGUCGAGUUGGCUUAGGGAUACGUUCGUUGGGUAGGGGAGCGUUCUGUAAGCCUGUGAAGGUGUGUCGUGAGGCAUGCUGGAGGUAUCAGAAGUGCGAAUGCUGACAUAAGUAACGAUAAAGCGGGUGAAAAGCCCGCUCGCCGGAAGACCAAGGGUUCCUGUCCAACGUUAAUCGGGGCAGGGUGAGUCGACCCCUAAGGCGAGGCCGAAAGGCGUAGUCGAUGGGAAACGGGUUAAUAUUCCCGUACUUGGUGUUACUGCGAAGGGGGGACGGAGAAGGCUAUGUUGGCCGGGCGACGGUUGUCCCGGUUUAAGCGUGUAGGUGUGUGUUCCAGGUAAAUCCGGUUCACUUUAACACUGAGGCGUGACGACGAGGCACUACGGUGCUGAAGCAACAAAUGCCCUGCUUCCAGGAAAAGCCUCUAAGCAUCAGGUAACACGAAAUCGUACCCCAAACCGACACAGGUGGUCAGGUAGAGAAUACCAAGGCGCUUGAGAGAACUCGGGUGAAGGAACUAGGCAAAAUGGUGCCGUAACUUCGGGAGAAGGCACGCUGACACGUAGGUGAAGUGAUUUACUCAUGGAGCUGAAGUCAGUCGAAGAUACCAGCUGGCUGCAACUGUUUAUUAAAAACACAGCACUGUGCAAACACGAAAGUGGACGUAUACGGUGUGACGCCUGCCCGGUGCCGGAAGGUUAAUUGAUGGGGUCAGCGUAAGCGAAGCUCCUGAUCGAAGCCCCGGUAAACGGCGGCCGUAACUAUAACGGUCCUAAGGUAGCGAAAUUCCUUGUCGGGUAAGUUCCGACCUGCACGAAUGGCGUAAUGAUGGCCAGGCUGUCUCCACCCGAGACUCAGUGAAAUUGAACUCGCUGUGAAGAUGCAGUGUACCCGCGGCAAGACGGAAAGACCCCGUGAACCUUUACUAUAGCUUGACACUGAACAUUGAGCCUUGAUGUGUAGGAUAGGUGGGAGGCUUUGAAGUGUGGACGCCAGUCUGCAUGGAGCCGACCUUGAAAUACCACCCUUUAAUGUUUGAUGUUCUAACGUGGACCCGUAAUCCGGGUUGCGGACAGUGUCUGGUGGGUAGUUUGACUGGGGCGGUCUCCUCCUAAAGAGUAACGGAGGAGCACGAAGGUUGGCUAAUCCUGGUCGGACAUCAGGAGGUUAGUGCAAUGGCAUAAGCCAGCUUGACUGCGAGCGUGACGGCGCGAGCAGGUGCGAAAGCAGGUCAUAGUGAUCCGGUGGUUCUGAAUGGAAGGGCCAUCGCUCAACGGAUAAAAGGUACUCCGGGGAUAACAGGCUGAUACCGCCCAAGAGUUCAUAUCGACGGCGGUGUUUGGCACCUCGAUGUCGGCUCAUCACAUCCUGGGGCUGAAGUAGGUCCCAAGGGUAUGGCUGUUCGCCAUUUAAAGUGGUACGCGAGCUGGGUUUAGAACGUCGUGAGACAGUUCGGUCCCUAUCUGCCGUGGGCGCUGGAGAACUGAGGGGGGCUGCUCCUAGUACGAGAGGACCGGAGUGGACGCAUCACUGGUGUUCGGGUUGUCAUGCCAAUGGCACUGCCCGGUAGCUAAAUGCGGAAGAGAUAAGUGCUGAAAGCAUCUAAGCACGAAACUUGCCCCGAGAUGAGUUCUCCCUGAGACUUAGAGUCUCCUGAAGGAACGUUGAAGACGACGACGUUGAUAGGCCGGGUGUGUAAGCGCAGCGAUGCGUUGAGCUAACCGGUACUAAUGAACCGUGAGGCUUAACCUUACA